UUUGAUGCCCAAAAUGUUGCAUUUUUUUCUCUUGCUUCAAAUUAGAAUUUACCCUCCGCUUCCAACCUUCACUGGAACCUAGAAAAAUGGUUUCUCUUUACACCGUGGCUUUCCUGCUCAUGAUGACUCUUCCUCCAUUAAUAUCGGGACAAAAAGACAUUUCUAAUCAGAACUGCCCUGGGGGAGAGAAAAGUGAGAAUAUGCCUCCUGGCAAAACGCAUCUGGUGCAACUAGAUUUGUUUUCCGUAAAAAAUCCAAUAAGAAUGUACAAACUGAAAGGGAACAGAAAUAUUUAGUGAUAAUAUAGACUUAUAUUAUAUAUAUAAUAUAUAUAUAUAUAUAUAUAUAUAUUACAUAAUAAAGGCUGCAAAGAAAAUUACAACAACA
Molecule: long non-coding RNA, 387 nt
Organism: Xenopus tropicalis (tropical clawed frog)
Lineage: Eukaryota; Metazoa; Chordata; Amphibia; Anura; Pipidae
Exons: 2
Source: RefSeq, a predicted model, not a curated record